GAUAUGACCUCCUGUCGCAUGGUGGGGGGUGGAAAGGGUUUGUACUGGUUGUGGAUGGGCUCACGGCCUAUCAGCUUGUUGGUGGGGUAAUGGCCUACCAAGGCGACGACGGGUAGCCGGCCUGAGAGGGUGACCGGCCACACUGGGACUGAGACACGGCCCAGACUCCUACGGGAGGCAGCAGUGGGGAAUAUUGCACAAUGGGCGCAAGCCUGAUGCAGCGACGCCGCGUGAGGGAUGACGGCCUUCGGGUUGUAAACCUCUUUCAGCACGGAAGAAGCGAAAGUGACGGUACGUGCAGAAGAAGCGCCGGCUAACUACGUGCCAGCAGCCGCGGUAAUACGUAGGGCGCAAGCGUUGUCCGGAAUUAUUGGGCGUAAAGAGCUCGUAGGCGGUUUGUCGCGUCUGCUGUGAAAGCCCGGGGCUUAACCCCGGGUGUGCAGUGGGUACGGGCAGACUUGAGUGCAGUAGGGGAGACUGGAACUCCUGGUGUAGCGGUGAAAUGCGCAGAUAUCAGGAAGAACACCGAUGGCGAAGGCAGGUCUCUGGGCUGUUACUGACGCUGAGGAGCGAAAGCAUGGGGAGCGAACAGGAUUAGAUACCCUGGUAGUCCAUGCCGUAAACGUUGGGCACU
RNAcentral lists this ribosomal RNA (634 nucleotides) under Kocuria sp. Its description in RNAcentral is "bacterial SSU rRNA". It matches the Rfam family "Bacterial small subunit ribosomal RNA", at positions 172 to 817 of the family's 1533-position model. The record is from RNAcentral. Lineage: Bacteria; Bacillati; Actinomycetota; Actinomycetes; Micrococcales; Micrococcaceae.